UUUUAAAUCGUUUGCUGAGCAGAAAGGUCGUAUUCUAUCGUUAAGAUAGAUAGGUAGCACCAGCAUAACCUCAACGACGUCGUAAAUAAAUAAAUACUGCAAGAACGUCGAAAAAAAAAAGACAGGCUCCUCCUCCUGCCAGGAACUAGUUUAUACUAGAAAGGACAUUUAUGGAAUGCUGAAAGACGGUCUAAGAGACGGGUUAUCUAUUAAAUUAUCUGAAAACGGGGAUGACUGGACGUAGUGGAAAAACGAUAGAUAUUUGUGAAGACAUGAAGGCAUCGUUUUCUACUGUAUUUUUCAAAAUCAGAGAAAAGUUGCUUGCUGUCAGCAGGACCGACCAAAAAUUUGUGCGUAAAGUAUUAAUACAUGGUAGAAAAUGCUGAAAAAGCUGAUACCAUUUUCAGCCGAGGCCCUAGAAAUGCUAACAUCCAACGGUUCUCAAGAUUAUCUACUCUGACUCAGAUGAAGAUAACGACUUUCAAAUUGAUUCCGAGUUGAGUGAGAGUGAUUCAGAGUAAUAAUUACUCGCUAAAUGAUCGAGUCCGAAGACAAAUUUUCCAUUAAUAUGUUAGAUGCAGUCAACUUUAUUAGUAAAGUUUGGAAAGAGGAGCAGCAGCAGAAACAAUUCAACACUCCUAUCGUCAUUACCGAGACAGAAUGCGAACAGGACUUGGAAGAUGAUCAAUCAGCCACUAAGCGAGUGGAUAAAGCAGUUUCAAAUAACAAUUACGUUUACAAGUGAGGAGUAGCAAGAUUUUAUGGUGAUAGAUCGGGAUUUGCCUACAACGGCAAACUUGACAGAGGAAGUCAUAUUGCAACAAGCAAGAAAGGGUGAGGAAGAGCACCAAGAGGAAGAAGACGAUGAAGAAGUUAAUCUGGGACCACCACCAACCAUUCAACAAGCCCUAUAUGCAGUUAAGCUGCUAGAGAAAUUUGGAACAUGCCCCUCUGGAAGAAAUAGAUGCGUAUUGACAUACUAAAAAAAUUCAAAAGAAAAUGUACGAUUAUUGAAACAUUAAAUAUAGUUCUUAUAUAUUUUAAAAAUGUUCCUAAGUGGAUGUUAAAAUAUGUAUAUAAUAUAAUUAAAUAUCACAGAACACAUAUGCGUAUUGUUUUUUUUUCAAGUGUCUAUAACUCUUCAAUUUCGCUAUAUAGAGUUUCGACUGUACUUUUAUUUAGUUCACCUCGCUAAUGGUAGCAGGCUAUUUUGCUCGGCAGGGUGUUCUAUAAGGGGCUGCGGUUUUGGAGUAAUAAACGGUAGGCAAAGUUAAUGACGAGGUCGGUUGUAAAGCACUAUAUUUCUGGUCCAAGUAUACCGAGCGUGAAGCCGCCUUUAGUAAGUAGCCCGAUCGUG
This is a long non-coding RNA of Cylas formicarius (sweet potato weevil), 1357 nucleotides long. RefSeq lists it as uncharacterized. The transcript has 3 exons. Lineage: Eukaryota; Metazoa; Arthropoda; Insecta; Coleoptera; Brentidae. The record is from RefSeq and is a predicted model, not a curated record.